Molecule: ribosomal RNA, 411 nt
Filed under: Usnea strigosa
Lineage: Eukaryota; Fungi; Ascomycota; Lecanoromycetes; Lecanorales; Parmeliaceae
Description: partial 18S ribosomal RNA
Source: RNAcentral
AAGUCGUAACAAGGUUUUCCGUAGGCGGAACACUGCAUCCUUUCGGGUACAUCUGCCGAAACCUUAGUGGAUUGAUUAGGCGACUCUAAACAAGUAUAAUCCUCGGGGCUUGCCCCUCGAGCACUAGCCCUCCCUUUGUGGAUGGCGACAUUACCAGUAUGCGGGAACAUUCAACUUGGUUGGAUAACCCGCAGUCACAUUCGUGGCCCACAGGCUAAAUGGUAAUGGGCAUAGGCGCCAUACCACCUAUGCUUCAGAUAUAGUCGGUCCCCAGAUAUCUCUGGGAGACUUGUGGAAUUAGGGGCGAGUUGCAGGCACUUGCAUAAUCGGCAACUGCUUCGCAGUGCGGCUCAUAACCAAUAUCCACAAGCGAGUAAACGUUCCGUAGGUGAACCUGCGGAAGGAUCAUUA